Molecule: ribosomal RNA, 1047 nt
Filed under: Limosilactobacillus reuteri
Lineage: Bacteria; Bacillati; Bacillota; Bacilli; Lactobacillales; Lactobacillaceae
Description: bacterial SSU rRNA
Rfam family: Bacterial small subunit ribosomal RNA
Source: RNAcentral
UUUGAAAGAUGGCUUUGGCUAUCACUCUGGGAUGGACCUGCGGUGCAUUAGCUAGUUGGUAAGGUAACGGCUUACCAAGGCGAUGAUGCAUAGCCGAGUUGAGAGACUGAUCGGCCACAAUGGAACUGAGACACGGUCCAUACUCCUACGGGAGGCAGCAGUAGGGAAUCUUCCACAAUGGGCGCAAGCCUGAUGGAGCAACACCGCGUGAGUGAAGAAGGGUUUCGGCUCGUAAAGCUCUGUUGUUGGAGAAGAACGUGCGUGAGAGUAACUGUUCACGCAGUGACGGUAUCCAACCAGAAAGUCACGGCUAACUACGUGCCAGCAGCCGCGGUAAUACGUAGGUGGCAAGCGUUAUCCGGAUUUAUUGGGCGUAAAGCGAGCGCAGGCGGUUGCUUAGGUCUGAUGUGAAAGCCUUCGGCUUAACCGAAGAAGUGCAUCGGAAACCGGGCGACUUGAGUGCAGAAGAGGACAGUGGAACUCCAUGUGUAGCGGUGGAAUGCGUAGAUAUAUGGAAGAACACCAGUGGCGAAGGCGGCUGUCUGGUCUGCAACUGACGCUGAGGCUCGAAAGCAUGGGUAGCGAACAGGAUUAGAUACCCUGGUAGUCCAUGCCGUAAACGAUGAGUGCUAGGUGUUGGAGGGUUUCCGCCCUUCAGUGCCGGAGCUAACGCAUUAAGCACUCCGCCUGGGGAGUACGACCGCAAGGUUGAAACUCAAAGGAAUUGACGGGGGCCCGCACAAGCGGUGGAGCAUGUGGUUUAAUUCGAAGCUACGCGAAGAACCUUACCAGGUCUUGACAUCUUGCGCUAACCUUAGAGAUAAGGCGUUCCCUUCGGGGACGCAAUGACAGGUGGUGCAUGGUCGUCGUCAGCUCGUGUCGUGAGAUGUUGGGUUAAGUCCCGCAACGAGCGCAACCCUUGUUACUAGUUGCCAGCAUUAAGUUGGGCACUCUAGUGAGACUGCCGGUGACAAACCGGAGGAAGGUGGGGACGACGUCAGAUCAUCAUGCCCCUUAUGACCUGGGCUACACACGUGCUACAAUGGA